RNAcentral lists this ribosomal RNA (465 nucleotides) under uncultured Acidimicrobiales bacterium. RNAcentral describes it as "bacterial SSU rRNA". It matches the Rfam family "Bacterial small subunit ribosomal RNA", at positions 28 to 505 of the family's 1533-position model. Lineage: Bacteria; Bacillati; Actinomycetota; Acidimicrobiia; Acidimicrobiales. The record is from RNAcentral.
GAUGAACGCUGGCGGCGUGCUUCAUACAUGCAAGUCGAACGAGGUCCAUGGGAGCUUGCUCCCGGAAGACCUAGUGGCGAACGGGUGCGUAACACGUGAGAAACCUGUCCCCGACAGUGGGAUAACAGUUGGAAACGACUGCUAAUACCACAUACCACCGGUGAAUCGCAUGAUUCGCCGAUGAAAGUUCCGGCGGUUGGGGAGGGUCUCGCGGCCUAUCAGCUAGUUGGAGAGGUAACGGCUCACCAAGGCAUCGACGGGUAGCUGGUCUGAGAGGAUGAUCAGCCACACUGGGACUGAGACACGGCCCAGACUCCUACGGGAGGCAGCAGUAGGGAAUCUUGCACAAUGGGCGAAAGCCUGAUGCAGCAACGCCGCGUGCGGGAAGAAGGCCCUAGGGUUGUAAACCGCUUUCAGCAGGGAAGAAAAUGACGGUACCUGCAGAAGAAGGUGCGGCCAACUACG